GACGUAGGAGGCGAGCGUUAUCCGGAUUCACUGGGCGUAAAGCGCAUGUAGGCGGUUGCACAAGUCCGUUGUUAAAGCCCCUGGCUCAACUGGGGGAGGUCAAUGGAGACUGUGCGACUUGAGGGCAAUAGAGGCACGUGGAACUCCCGGUGUAGCGGUGGAAUGCGUAGAGAUCGGGAAGAACACCAGUGGCGAAGGCGACGUGCUGGGUUGCACCUGACGCUGAGAUGCGAAAGUGUGGGGAGCAAACGGG
RNAcentral lists this ribosomal RNA (253 nucleotides) under uncultured bacterium. RNAcentral's name for it is "partial 16S ribosomal RNA". It matches the Rfam family "Bacterial small subunit ribosomal RNA", at positions 524 to 776 of the family's 1533-position model. The record is from RNAcentral.